AAUAGAUCAGAUCUAUUACCUUGCAAGUUAGACAUUCUAACCUUGUUGAUCUGGGCUUGAGGAUGAUGUUGCAAGCCGCACAUGCAUCCGACCUCUAGGAGUCAUCCACACAAGCCCAUGAAUCUCGAUCAGAAGUCCUGCUUCAGGAAAUCAGCACAGUAUGCUAGUACUGCGCUGAUCCUUCUUUGAUGGUUGAUCAGGUGCCUCCUUCUUCUUGAUUUGGACUCUUCCAAAGAUGAAAAGUAGAAGGAGGAGUUUCAGAUCUGAGACGCUCUUAGGAAACUCAAGAUGGAGGGAGGAAAGAUAUGAAAACAAAAACCCUAGAAGAAGACCCUCUUCUUCUUCACAUUUUUCUCUCUAGACAUCCAAACUUGCAUCUUUU
This 382-nucleotide long non-coding RNA is filed under the name Elaeis guineensis (African oil palm). RNAcentral describes it as "long non-coding RNA (EGUI_LNC054422)". The record is from RNAcentral. Lineage: Eukaryota; Viridiplantae; Streptophyta; Magnoliopsida; Arecales; Arecaceae.